UCCCAGACUCCUACGGGAGGCAGCAGUGGGGGAUAUUGCACAAUGGGGGGAACCCUGAUGCAGCGGCGCCGCGUGGGUGAAGGAGUGCUUCGGCAUGUAAAGCCCUAUCGGCAGGGAAGAAGCAAGACGGUACCUGACUAAGAAGCCCCGGCUAACUACGUGCCAGCAGCCGCGGUAAUACGUAGGGGGCGAGCGUUAUCCGGAUUCACUGGGUGUAAAGGGAGCGUAGACGGCCAUGCAAGCCAGGGGUGAAAGCCCGGGGCCCAACCCCGGGACUGCUUUGGAAACUGUUAAGCUGGAGUGCAGGAGAGGUAAGUGGAAUUCCUAGUGUAGCGGUGAAAUGCGUAGAUAUUAGGAGGAACACCAGUGGCGAAGGCGGCUUACUGGACUGUAACUGACGUUGAGGCUCGAAAGCGUGGGGAGCAAACAGGAUUAGAUACCCUGGUACG
RNAcentral lists this ribosomal RNA (449 nucleotides) under uncultured bacterium. Its description in RNAcentral is "bacterial SSU rRNA". It matches the Rfam family "Bacterial small subunit ribosomal RNA", at positions 329 to 793 of the family's 1533-position model. The record is from RNAcentral.